RNAcentral lists this long non-coding RNA (206 nucleotides) under Elaeis guineensis (African oil palm). RNAcentral's name for it is "long non-coding RNA (EGUI_LNC063004)". Lineage: Eukaryota; Viridiplantae; Streptophyta; Magnoliopsida; Arecales; Arecaceae. The record is from RNAcentral.
AUAUACAUGUAGCCAGUAAAAAUUUGAUUUCUAUCUCUGUGCUGGCAUAGGAUAAUUAUAAUUUUUAUUUCAAUAAAGAUAUGUAUUCUAUUUAUUUUGAAAAUAAACUUGUUGCACAUGCUUUCUUGAUUGACAGUCUUUACCAUGGGCAUAUGGAUGCAAGUAUAAACAUUAACGAGCAAAUAGUGAAUACUAUAGGGUUUAAA